AUGGUCAAGCUAGUAAGGGCAGACGGUGGAUGCCUUGGCGCUGAGAGGCGACGAAGGACGUGGUUAGCUGCGAUAAGCUUCGGGGAGCCGCUAAACAGGCUUUGAUCCGGAGAUCUCCGAAUGGGGCAACCCGGCCGCGGUAAUACGCGGUCAUCCCGCUUUCGGGUGGGAGGCGAACCCGGGGAACUGAAACAUCUCAGUACCCGGAGGAAAAGAAAUCAAACGAGAUUCCCUCAGUAGCGGCGAGCGAACGGGGAAGAGCCCAAACCCCGCACUCACUUGGGUGCAUGGAGCCCGGCUUCGGGUUCGGUGCGCCGAAGUGAGUGCGGGGGGUUGUGGGACCCUCCAUGAGCAAACAGGACGGCUAGCGGAAGGAUCUGGAACGAUCCCCCAAAGAGGGUGAUAGGCCCGUAGGCGAAAGCCGGCCGGUUUGCGGAGGGGAUCCCGAGUACCGCGGGGCACGUGGAACCCCGUGGGAAUCAGGGUGGACCAUCAUCCAAGGCUAAAUACUACUCAGCGACCGAUAGUGAACCAGUACCGUGAGGGAAAGGUGAAAAGUACCCCGGUGAGGGGAGUGAAACAGUACCUGAAACCGUUUGCCUACAAGCGGUGGGAGUCCCGCACCCACUUCAGAUCAUAGGGGCGUGUCAUGUAUUACGUGUAUUUGCUGGUAGACGACGACAAGAGGCCGUACAUUGGCUUCACGAAGGAUCUGCGGCGAAGGCUCCGGCAGCAGCAAGCAGGUGAGAGCCGCAGCACCCGGGGCACAGCGUUAAGGCUCGUGUAUUACGAGGCCUACGCUGCCAAGGCGGAUGCGCAACAGCGCGAGAGACGUCUGAAGCAUGACGGCAGAGCACGCUAUGCAUUGAUGCGAACAACGGAGGCCAGUUUAGGCUCUGUGGUCUGAAGUGGGUGCGGGAUGACCGCGUGCCUUUUGCAUAAUGAGUCAGCGAGUUACUCUCUGUGGCGAGGUUAAGCCGAUUGAGGUGGAGCCGUAGCGAAAGCGAGUCUGAACAGGGCGAUGGAGUUGCAGGGAGUAGACCCGAAACCAGGUGAUCUAUCCAUGGCCAGGGUGAAGUCGCGGUAACACGCGAUGGAGGCCCGAACCGAACAAGGUUGAAAACUUGUCGGAUGAGCUGUGGAUAGGAGUG
Molecule: ribosomal RNA, 1151 nt
Filed under: Bacteroidota bacterium
Lineage: Bacteria; Pseudomonadati; Bacteroidota
Description: bacterial LSU rRNA
Rfam family: Bacterial large subunit ribosomal RNA
Source: RNAcentral